RNAcentral lists this ribosomal RNA (253 nucleotides) under uncultured bacterium. Its description in RNAcentral is "partial 16S ribosomal RNA". It matches the Rfam family "Bacterial small subunit ribosomal RNA", at positions 524 to 776 of the family's 1533-position model. The record is from RNAcentral.
UACAGAGGGUGCGAGCGUUAAUCGGAGUGACUGGGCGUAAAGGGCACGUAGGCGGCUUAUUUAGUCUGAUGUGAAAUAACUAGGCUUAACCUGGUAUGUGCAUUGGAAACGGAUAGGCUAGAGUAUUGGAGAGGGAAGUGGAAUUUCCGGUGUAGCGGUGAAAUGCGUAGAGAUCGGAAAGAACACUCGUGGCGAAGGCGACUUCCUGGCCAAAGACUGACGCUGAGGUGCGAAAGCGUGGGUAGCAAACAGG